RNAcentral lists this ribosomal RNA (396 nucleotides) under uncultured bacterium. RNAcentral's name for it is "partial 16S ribosomal RNA". It matches the Rfam family "Bacterial small subunit ribosomal RNA", at positions 523 to 918 of the family's 1533-position model. The record is from RNAcentral.
AUACGUAGGGGGCAAGCGUUAUCCGGAUUUACUGGGUGUAAAGGGAGCGUAGACGGUAAAGCAAGUCUGAAGUGAAAGCUCGGGGCUCAACCCCGGAACUGCUUUGGAAACUGUUUUACUGGAGUGCAGGAGAGGCAAGCGGAAUUCCUAGUGUAGCGGUGAAAUGCGUAGAUAUUAGGAGGAACACCAGAGGCGAAGGCGGCUCACUGGACUGUAACUGACGUUGAGGCUCGAAGGCGUGGGGAGCAAACAGGAUUAGAUACCCUGGUAGUCCACGCGGUAAACGAUGAUCACUAGGUGUCGGCGGCCAUAGGCGGUCGGUGCCGCAGCAAACGCAAUAAGUGAUCCACCUGGGGAGUACGUUCGCAAGAAUGAAACUCAAAUGAAUUGACGGGG